CUCUACCACCUAAACACCUCACAAUAUAGUAAUGAAUUACAAUAUAAAUGUAUAAACUAAAUCAUUCUUUUACCUAAGUAUGGGAGACAGAAAGGGUUAAAACCUGAAGCAAUAGAAAGAGUACCGCAGGGGAAAGCUGAAAGAGAAAUGAAAUAACCCAUUAAAGCGAAAAGAAGCAAGAUUAAACUCU
This 190-nucleotide ribosomal RNA is filed under the name Rhodeus uyekii. RNAcentral's name for it is "partial large subunit ribosomal RNA". The record is from RNAcentral. Lineage: Eukaryota; Metazoa; Chordata; Actinopteri; Cypriniformes; Acheilognathidae.